UUCAUAUCGAUUUGUACGAAUUCCUGGCCUGUGACCACCCAAAAUGGAGGAGGAGCAUUGAGAACCUUUGGGUCAUGCACUGGUAGUUCAGAGAAGCCCAAUGUAUAUGGCAGAAGGAGAGAACCACCUCCCAGCUAUCCAUCUCCUGCCCUACCUGUGACAAGCUGUAGGUUCAGCACUAACCUUGUCAGCCACCUUGCCCACCGAACAGGAGUGGAAGCAAGUCAUCCUUGAUCCUAAGGUAGCCAACAACAACUGUCAAGGCCAGUGGACUGGGAGCAGGUACCAAGGAGGCCAGCAGUCUGGAGGAGGGAGUGCUUUUCUGCUUACAGAUGGCCAUCAGGCUGGGACCAGGGAUUCAGCAAUAUGGCUUUGAAGAAAUCACACCUUCGCGUCAUCACUGCCACCAGUGCAGCUGUUGUCAGGCUCUCUGAAGAUGGCGAGAGACUGGAGAUGCAGAGUGCGGACGUGGGCAUCAGGAAUGCAGUACAGCCGUGGGUUAAGGAUAGCUCAAGUGCCACCCUGCAGUGGGAAGCUACACUGAUGCUCCAGUUCAGAUGAGGACUUCCAGUGAGGCAACCUACAGAUCAAUAAUUGAUUACAAAUUCCCAGCUCCUGUGUGGGAAUUGCACAAGUAACUCUAGACCAUUGUGCGCCCAUGCUCUACCAUUGGAGGAGAAUAAUUGAACUCUGUCAUAUUGCCUGUCCCUUUGUGUUGAAUGUUCUGUUGACCUUUGCGGUCUGGGCUCACAUCUGAACAACAUCCCUUGCUGACCGUAGCCUCAUUCACAAGAAGAGGUGGAACUACUGAUGGUGGGUAGGUGGUCUACUUUCAUAUGGAUACGAACAGUACUGCUUCACAGCUGUUGCAAAUCAGCACUAAUAUUAAAAAAAAUCCUAAUGAGCUCUCUCAGAACAUGGAGGCUAUGUUCCAAUAUGAUCCUGUUUAUUAAAAGGCAGGUAACUCACAAAACUUGUCAUAAAUAUUGCUACUGUUUACUGCAGUGUGACUAUUACCCGUUUAAUUCUAAAUAAAAGAGACAGUAAACCAGUA
This is a long non-coding RNA of Pristis pectinata (smalltooth sawfish), 1054 nucleotides long. RefSeq lists it as uncharacterized. The transcript is spliced from 3 exons. NCBI's taxonomy places the organism in Eukaryota, Metazoa, Chordata, Chondrichthyes, Rhinopristiformes, Pristidae. The record is from RefSeq and is a predicted model, not a curated record.